This is a non-coding RNA of Pelobates cultripes (western spadefoot toad), 281 nucleotides long. Lineage: Eukaryota; Metazoa; Chordata; Amphibia; Anura; Pelobatidae. The record is from the annotation of a GenBank genome assembly.
UGAAACUGUCAGCAGAUUUCGAGGGCCUCAAGUUUUUUUUAGAAAACAAAACAGCAACACAAACAAACAGGGUAUGGCACGCAAAGACUCCUUUCACAAUUAUUGAGAUUGCAACUUUGGUUUACAUACAUUUCAAAACUAUUGUCAUCUUUAAAUGGCCUUAUAAGACACAGCAUUUAAAUGGGUAACCAGUGUCAUUUUUACACCUCACUAUAAGAGUUAUGUUUUAGAGUUACUGGGAAAAAAAUUGGUGUUUCUUGGCACAUAAUGUCCGUUGUCUU